This is a non-coding RNA of Bombyx mori (domestic silkworm), 84 nucleotides long. NCBI's taxonomy places the organism in Eukaryota, Metazoa, Arthropoda, Insecta, Lepidoptera, Bombycidae. The record is from Rfam.
UUAACUCAAUUUUAUAUGGAGUAGGAACGUUUGCCUAAGUUUGCCGUUAGGGGCGCUGUUCCAACUACAUACAAAUUUGAGUUA